This is a long non-coding RNA of Felis catus (domestic cat), 866 nucleotides long. RefSeq lists it as uncharacterized. Lineage: Eukaryota; Metazoa; Chordata; Mammalia; Carnivora; Felidae. The transcript is spliced from 3 exons. The record is from RefSeq and is a predicted model, not a curated record.
GCUCUGAACUGUCAGCACAGAGCCUAAUGUGGCACUCAAACCCACGAUCAUGACCUGAGCCAAAGCUGGACGCUCAACCGACUGAGCCACCCAGGCGCCCCUCAACCUAGUUACUUCAAGACUCAUCCGUGUUGUGUAUAUCUCAAUGGUUCAUUCCCUUUGGCUGCUAAGUAGUAUUCCAUUGCAUAGAUAUCCUACAAUUUGUUAUACACUCACCUACUGGCAGAUAUUUGAGUUGUUUCCAUUUUUGGCUAUUAUAAGUAAAAAUGCUAUGGAUACUCAUGUAAAAUCCUUUCUUUGCUUUCAAUUGGGGGUGAGGGUGGCAAAUAAUUAUCAAUGGAAUGGCUAGAUCAUAUUAUAAAUGUGUGUUUUACUUUUCAGGAAACCGCCAGACUGCUUCUCAAAGUGGUUAUACCAUUUUACAUACCCGGUAGCAAGAACAGCUUGCUUUUAUAUUUUUCAAAACUAUUUAAGAUUUUCAUUAAGUGAAACUCAUCUCCACCCCCCGAAAUAAGUUCCCAGAAUCUAAUGAGGUGACACUAACAGGACAAGUAGUUUGCUCUGGUUCCACACAUUUUGAGAGAGGUGGGAAGACUGUCAACAAAAUGUUUCUGUUCAUUUAACUCACAAAUGUGAGACAGUUCACGGGUAGAGUGGAAAGCAGAGUUAAACAUGAGCUUCCCAACAGAAUGAUUAUACUUGACAAGACUAAUCCACCUGACAGUUGACAUAAGACCAUUUAAUGAAAGCAGCCCCGGGGCGGCUCCAGACAGGACAGAUUUAAUGGGAUGAACAAGAAGUCUCACAAAAUGCAGGUAAGAAAUAGCCUCAGAUAGCACAGCCGUUAAAAAAAAAAAAAAAAAGGA